GAUGAACGCUAGCUGCAGGCUUAACACAUGCAAGUCGAGGGGAAACGGCAUUAAGUGCUUGCCCUUUUUAGAGGUCGACCGGCGGUUGGGUGAGUAACGCGUAUCCCACCUUCCUAUGACUAAGCGAUAACCUUGCGCAAGACAGACUAUUACCUUAUGGUCUUCACUGACGGCGUCAGAUGUUUUGUAAAGAUUUAUCGGUUAUCGAUGGGGAUGCGUGUGAUUAGCUUGUUGGCGGUGUAUCCGCCGACAAAGGCAACGAUCAGUAGGGGUUCUGAGAGGAAGGUCCCCGACAGUGGAACUGAGACACGGUCCAAACUCCUACGGGAGGCAGCAGUGAGGAAUAUUGGUCAAUGGGCGAGAGCCUGAACCAGCCAAGUAGCGUGCAGGAUGACGGCCCUAUGGGUUGUAAACUGCUUUUGUAUGGGGAUAAAGUCAAUCACGUGUGAUUGUUUGCAGGUACCAGACGAAUAAGGACCGGCUAAUUCCGUG
This 492-nucleotide ribosomal RNA is filed under the name uncultured bacterium. RNAcentral describes it as "partial 16S ribosomal RNA". It matches the Rfam family "Bacterial small subunit ribosomal RNA", at positions 28 to 507 of the family's 1533-position model. The record is from RNAcentral.